This 1069-nucleotide long non-coding RNA is filed under the name Mus spicilegus (steppe mouse). Its description in RNAcentral is "lncRNA (ENSMSIG00000024667.1)". Lineage: Eukaryota; Metazoa; Chordata; Mammalia; Rodentia; Muridae. The record is from RNAcentral.
CUAGAACACAGCGGAGCUCACAGCUGUAGAAAACUCUAUUCCAAUCGAUAAUCUUUUUCCAACCUUUGGGUACUUUCUUUCACCCAAGGAUCUCAAGGCCUGCGGGGCCUGAACAAGGACGACAGGGAUGUAGAUCACCCAGCCUUGUCCUUAGACGCCUAUAAUGUCUCCCUGGGAGUCUGUGGUGAGGUUUGAGCACAGUCAAGAAGAGAUUGAGGAACAUUGAAGGAAGACCAAGGUAUGUCACCAUGGAGGCCUAGGCAGAGCACUGAAGACAAAGGAUGGCAUCAGGAAAGAGCAGGUCUGAAGGCCGGUGCUCAGAGAACAUCCCACCACAGCCAAGGGCACCACCCCAGGAGUCAACCACUCAGCCUUUGAAUAAAUGAACACUGAGUCUCGGGGGUCCAGGGAUACAGUUAUAUCAAGUAGAAGGACAUUCAUAAUCCAUCCCCAAUGGUUCUGCACGCUUCAACUUUCUUCUCUUUUCUUCCCAGAAUCCGUUUUGUCCUACAGAUGUUUCUUGAUCACUGUUCUGUUGCUGUGAAGAGACACCAUGAUCAAGGCAGCUCUUAUAAAACAAAGCAUUUGAGGCUUAGAGGUUUCGUCCAUUUCCAUCAUGGUAGGAAGUAUGGCGCUUGCAGGCAGACAUGGUGCUGGAGGAGAAACUGAGACUUCUACAUCUGGAUCCUCAAACAACUGGAACAGAGAGACUCUGAGCUGGGAAUGGGCUUUUUGAAACCUCAAAGCCCACCCUCAGUGACACACUUCCUCCAACAAGACCACGCCCCCUAAAUCCUCCCAAGUAGUUCCACUUCCUGGGGGCGGGGCGGGGAUUGCAUUCUCAAAGCACUGCAAGAUGAUAUAAACACCACAGGAGACACAUUACUCGUUCAACAGUGGCACAGCUUCACAAUGCAAGUUCUAGUAUUCUUUGUCUCCAAAUCAGCUUGGUAGCAUUCUCAGAACACCCUGUCUCUAUUUCUCAUGAUUCUCCACUCCUCCCACACCUCUGGGUUUCUCCUUUGCUAUAACAAAAACAAUAAAGCAGUGUUUCUCAAAGUGGGGAUCA